AAAAAAAGAAAGAAAGGAGGCAUCAGAUGCAGCGUCAGUGCACCCCCCUCCCCCCGUCAGCAGACCCACCUUUGACCCCUGGAGUGCCUGAGGGGUCCUGUGGCCCUGGUGGUUGAGGGGGGGCGAUGCUGUCUGUCCUCCGCUGAGCCAACCAGGCAGCUGCUCACCUGGGCAGGUGGACUCUGCACCUUGACAGGUUGCGGCCAUCAGGCAGAGGAGGAAGAGAGCCGCUCGCUUGCCAGCUCUGCCCAUGGUGCCAGUUGGGCUCCGACUGUCGCCUGCCCUGGACCCUCUCUGGCUUUUAUCUGCUGCUUUUGCCCUUCCCAGAUGGGUAUCCCAAGGUCAACGGUUACAACAUCGCAACCUGCUUCCUUGUUGAUCACGACACACAGACUUCCCAUGCUGCAGGUUCAAUUAUCUUAACCGUCCCCAUUUCUGGAGGGAGCCCAUCUCAUCUGCUCCGAAGCAAAGCCACAAGGGAAACUUUAGGCUACUCCCAACCGUGAGAUUCCAGGUGGUCCCCUUUCCCUGCUGGUAGUUUGGUCAGGUGCUGUGAAUCCCAUGAAGGAAAAGCUCCGGUUUCAAUCCAGAUUUGGAGAUGUUUUUGCUAUGCCAACCUUCUGGGAAAUAGCCAGGAGGUGCCUCCCUCCUCAGCCUUUGGGCCCCUAGAGACCUUCUCCUUUGUGUACAGAUGUUGUCUUUCAGAAGUCCGGACCGUCCGCAUCUUUGUUCAGGAGGAGCACAAGGCCUGACAUGGUGUUGUGAAUUGCACUAAAAGUCUCACAACGUGUAAAGAUGCAGCCUGGAUGAGAGCAAACAUCCCUAAAAGCCGUUUGGGAAGGUGGAAAGAAUCAUGGAACGCUGGCUGUUUUCCCCAUUGCUCUCCUCCUCAACCAUCAGGGUUCCAGGAAGGCGAGGUCUGGCUCUGACAUGCGGGUGCCCCCCCCCCCGUGCCCCACAGCCCAGAAACUCCAGGCAGGCACCCGGGUGGUGAAGCAUCGCGUGCCCUCCAAGCAACUUUCCAGGAGCUGCUCCCUUUUUUGGCUUCAUUCUCCUCAAAAGACAAGCUCCCCAUCUUCCUUAAGGCAGCAGGAGAGCAACGGAUGGUGGCAUCUUGAAGGGCACCGAAUCCAGUCAGGCCCCUGCUUUCAGCACAACCCGGAGUGUAAAAUGCGGCUCUGAUUGGGAAAGUGACGUUUGACCUUCAGAUCUGCAGGAUCUUGUGCAAUUAAAGUUAUUUAACUCAUUAA
Molecule: non-coding RNA, 1250 nt
Organism: Pantherophis guttatus
Lineage: Eukaryota; Metazoa; Chordata; Lepidosauria; Squamata; Colubridae
Source: RefSeq, a predicted model, not a curated record